This 468-nucleotide ribosomal RNA is filed under the name uncultured bacterium. RNAcentral describes it as "partial 16S ribosomal RNA". It matches the Rfam family "Bacterial small subunit ribosomal RNA", at positions 28 to 507 of the family's 1533-position model. The record is from RNAcentral.
GACGAACGCUGGCGGCGUGCUUAACACAUGCAAGUCGAACGGAAAGGCCCUGCUUUUGUGGGGUGCUCGAGUGGCGAACGGGUGAGUAACACGUGAGUAACCUGCCCUUGACUUUGGGAUAACUUCAGGAAACUGGGGCUAAUACCGGAUAGGAGCUCCUGCUGCAUGGUGGGGGUUGGAAAGUUUCGGCGGUUGGGGAUGGACUCGCGGCUUAUCAGCUUGUUGGUGGGGUAGUGGCUUACCAAGGCUUUGACGGGUAGCCGGCCUGAGAGGGUGACCGGGCCCAAUAGGACUGAGAUACGGCCCAGAGUACUAUGGGAGGCAGCGGUGGGGAAUAUUGCACAAUGGGAGGAAGCGUGAUGCAGAGACGCCGGGUGCGGGAUGACGGCCUUCGGGGUGUAAACCGCUUUCGCCUGUGACGAAGCGUGAGUGACGGUAAUGGGUAAAGAAGCACCGGCUAACUACGUG